Molecule: non-coding RNA, 26 nt
Filed under: Rattus norvegicus (Norway rat)
Lineage: Eukaryota; Metazoa; Chordata; Mammalia; Rodentia; Muridae
Source: RNAcentral
UGAGUGUGGCUGAAUGACUGAUCAGU